GACGAACGCUGGCGGCGUGCCUAAUACAUGCAAGUCGAGCGAAGUUUUUCUGGUGCUUGCCCUAGAAAAACUUAGCGGCGAACGGGUGAGUAACACGUAAAGAACCUGCCUCAUAGACUGGGACAACUAUUGGAAACGAUAGCUAAUACCGGAUAACAGUAUUUCUCGCAUGAGAGAUAUUUAAAAGUUGGUUAUGCUAACACUAUGAGAUGGCUUUGCGGUGCAUUAGCUAGUUGGUGGGGUAAAGGCCCACCAAGGCGACGAUGCAUAGCCGACCUGAGAGGGUGAUCGGCCACACUGGGACGGAGACCAGGCCCUGACUCCUACGGGAGGCAGCAGUAGGGAAUCUUCCACAAUGGGCGCAAGCCUGACGGAGCAACGCCGCGUGAGUGAAGAAGGAUUUCGGUUCGUAAAGCUCUGUUGUUAGGGAAGAAUGGAUAUGUAGUAACUAUACAUGUAAGAGACGGUACCUAACCAGAAAGCCACGGCUAACUACGUG
This 499-nucleotide ribosomal RNA is filed under the name uncultured bacterium. Its description in RNAcentral is "partial 16S ribosomal RNA". It matches the Rfam family "Bacterial small subunit ribosomal RNA", at positions 28 to 507 of the family's 1533-position model. The record is from RNAcentral.